GUUGAAGCCGGACAGGCGGCCGCGGUUAUAAGGAGAGGGCAAGAGGUAAUCGGAAGUACAGGUCGUAAAGCGUGCUCAGGCAGCUUAUUAAGUCAUAUGUGAAAUCCCUAGGCUCAACCUAGGAAAUGCAGUUGAAACGAAUAAACGAGUGUAUCGUAGAGGGAGGUAGAAUGCCAGGUGGGGCGGUGAAAUGCGUAGAUAUCUGGAGGAAUACCAGUGGCGAGUGCGACCUCCUGGACGAAAACUGACGCUCAAGCACGAAAGCAUGGAGAGCAAACAGGAUUAGAUACCCGAUUAGUC
Molecule: ribosomal RNA, 300 nt
Filed under: uncultured Prevotella sp.
Lineage: Bacteria; Pseudomonadati; Bacteroidota; Bacteroidia; Bacteroidales; Prevotellaceae
Description: bacterial SSU rRNA
Rfam family: Bacterial small subunit ribosomal RNA
Source: RNAcentral